Molecule: transfer RNA, 73 nt
Filed under: Ovis aries (sheep)
Lineage: Eukaryota; Metazoa; Chordata; Mammalia; Artiodactyla; Bovidae
Rfam family: tRNA
About the family: Transfer RNA (tRNA) molecules are approximately 80 nucleotides in length. Their secondary structure includes four short double-helical elements and three loops (D, anti-codon, and T loops).
Source: Rfam by way of RNAcentral
UUCCCUGUGGCUCAGAUGGUAAAAGCGUCUGCCUACAAUGUAGGAGACCUGGGUUUGAUCCCUGGUUGGGAAG